GGCUCUCGCGGCCCGGACUCAGGCGGGCCUGCCCGAGGAGCAGGACUACCACUCCCAGAUACCCCAAGGCCGUGGCGAAAAAGGGCCGUGUGUUACUUAGGCUGGGGGACUCAGUGCCGGCCUUUCGGCGCCUGGGUGGGGUUCUGCCUGCGGAAUCGUGGAAUCAGUGGCUUGGGAGAAUGGUGACUGAAUGAGAGAAGGAUCAGGGAGAGAACCGAGGAGACUUUAGCGCAGGUGUCUGGGGGCAGGCAACAGAACUGCGUCUUGUUUCUCUCGGUUGAUUUGGAAUCUUCUGCUCUUCAGUCCCCGCAGGGAAACCAUGCCGAAACCCCGGAAGAGGCUCGCCGGGGCUGCUGGGCCUACUGGGCCAGACAAUAAGGGGCCAGCAGGAAAACGUACCAAGACUAAGAACCCAGUAGGUACAUCAGCUACAUUGGGUAACUCCAGCCCUGAGAAGACUUCAGCCUCUAAAAACUGUGGGAAGAAUCUAAGCAGUUACUGGCUGAUGAAGUCUGAGCCAGAAAGCCGACUAGAGAAAGGUGUAGAUGUGAAGUUCAGCAUUGAGGAUCUUAAAGCACAGCCCAAGCAGACAGCAUGCUGGGAUGGUGUUCGCAACUACCAGGCCCGGAACUUCCUGCGAGCCAUGCAGCUGGGGCAAGAAGCGUUCUUCUACCAUAGCAACUGCAAAGAGCCAGGCAUCGCAGGACUUGUGAAGAUUGUGAAGGAGGCUUACCCAGACCACACACAGUUUGAGAAAAACAAUCCCCAUUAUGACCCAUCCAGCAAAGAAGACAACCCCAAAUGGUCCAUGGUAAAGACAACUAUUUUUCCUAUUUCAUGAGAGGAAAAGGAUGGACAAAGAGAGGGAGGAAGAAGGUGUGCGGUGUCUUUAGGUCAAGGUGGAUGUACAGUUUGUUCGGAUGAUGAAGCGUUACAUCACCCUGGCUGAGCUCAAAACCCAUUACCAAGCUCACAAAACCACUGGAGGCCCCUUAAAAAAUAUGGCUCUCUUCACUCGCCAGAGACUCUCAGUUCAGCCCCUGACUCGAGAGGAGUUUGAUUUUAUUUUGAGCCUGGAAGAAAAGGAGCCAAGUUAACCGGGACACUGUUGCUGGAAUGGGCAAGCCAUUACUCCAAAGAAGUCAAGCUUUUAUAAGACAAACGAAGGUGUGUGGCACCUUGCGUGGUUUUCAUGUACCUUUUCCAAUAAAACAUUAAUAUCAAA
This is a non-coding RNA of Callorhinus ursinus (northern fur seal), 1225 nucleotides long. NCBI's taxonomy places the organism in Eukaryota, Metazoa, Chordata, Mammalia, Carnivora, Otariidae. The record is from RefSeq and is a predicted model, not a curated record.